CUGGCGGCACGCCUCAUACAUGCAAGUCGAGCGCGAAAUCGCCUUCGGGUGACGUAGAGCGGCGAACGGGUGAGUAACAGGUGGGUAAUCUGCCCUUUGGCGGGGGACAACAGCUGGAAACGGCUGCUAAUACCGCAUGUGGUUGUGUGUUCAUGACGCACAAAGAAAGGCGCUUCACGGCGCCACCAAAGGAUGAGCCCGCCCCCCAUUAGCUAGUUGGUGAGAUAACAGCUCACCAAGGCAUCGAUGGGUAGCCGAGCUGAGAGGUUGAUCGGCCACACUGGAACUGAGACACGGUCCAGACACCUACGGGUGGCAGCAGUAGGGAAUAUUGCGCAAUGGGCGAAAGCCUGACGCAGCGAUGCCGCGUGAGUGACGAAGGUCUUAGGAUUGUAAAGCUCUUUUCUGAGGGAAGAAUAGGUCUGGUAGGAAAUGACUGGAUUCUGACGGUACCUCAGGAAUAAGGAACGGCUAACUCCGUGCCAGCAGCCGCGGUAAUAC
RNAcentral lists this ribosomal RNA (501 nucleotides) under uncultured bacterium. RNAcentral's name for it is "bacterial SSU rRNA". It matches the Rfam family "Bacterial small subunit ribosomal RNA", at positions 36 to 526 of the family's 1533-position model. The record is from RNAcentral.